CAGCACCUCAAGUGGUCAGGAUGAUUAUUGGGCCUAAAGCAUCCGUAGCCGGCGCUGUAAGUUUUCGGUUAAAUCUGUACGCUCAACGUACAGGCUGCCGGGAAUACUGCAGCGCUAGGGAGUGGGAGAGGUAGACGGUACUCGGUAGGAAGGGGUAAAAUCCUUUGAUCUAUUGAUGACCACCUGUGGCAAAGGCGGUCUACCAGAACACGUCCGACGGUGAGGGAUGAAAGCUGGGGGAGCAAAUCGGAUUAGAUACCCGAGUAGUCC
RNAcentral lists this ribosomal RNA (270 nucleotides) under uncultured archaeon. RNAcentral describes it as "partial 16S ribosomal RNA". It matches the Rfam family "Archaeal small subunit ribosomal RNA", at positions 477 to 747 of the family's 1478-position model. The record is from RNAcentral.